AUGAACGCUGGCGGCGUGCCUAAUACAUGCAAGUCGAGCGAACAGACGAGGAGCUUGCUCCUCUGACGUUAGCGGCGGACGGGUGAGUAACACGUGGAUAACCUACCUAUAAGACUGGGAUAACUUCGGGAAACCGGAGCUAAUACCGGAUAAUAUAUUGAACCGCAUGGUUCAAUAGUGAAAGACGGUUUUGCUGUCACUUAUAGAUGGAUCCGCGCCGCAUUAGCUAGUUGGUAAGGUAACGGCUUACCAAGGCAACGAUGCGUAGCCGACCUGAGAGGGUGAUCGGCCACACUGGAACUGAGACACGGUCCAGACUCCUACGGGAGGCAGCAGUAGGGAAUCUUCCGCGAUGGGCGAAAGCCUGACGGAGCAACGCCGCGUGAGUGAUGAAGGUCUUCGGAUCGUAAAACUCUGUUAUUAGGGAAGAACAAAUGUGUAAGUAACUAUGCACGUCUUGACGGUACCUAAUCAGAAAGCCACGGCUAACUACGUG
RNAcentral lists this ribosomal RNA (496 nucleotides) under uncultured bacterium. RNAcentral's name for it is "partial 16S ribosomal RNA". It matches the Rfam family "Bacterial small subunit ribosomal RNA", at positions 29 to 507 of the family's 1533-position model. The record is from RNAcentral.